RNAcentral lists this ribosomal RNA (487 nucleotides) under uncultured bacterium. Its description in RNAcentral is "bacterial SSU rRNA". It matches the Rfam family "Bacterial small subunit ribosomal RNA", at positions 501 to 989 of the family's 1533-position model. The record is from RNAcentral.
CUACGUGCCAGCAGCCGCGGUAAUACGUAUGUCGCAAGCGUUAUCCGGAAUUAUUGGGCAUAAAGGGCAUCUAGGCGGCCAGACAAGUCUGGGGUGAAAACUUGCGGCUCAACCGCAAGCCUGCCCUGGAAACUGUUUGGCUAGAGUGCUGGAGAGGUGGACGGAACUGCACGAGUAGAGGUGAAAUUCGUAGAUAUGUGCAGGAAUGCCGAUGAUGAAGAUAGUUCACUGGACGGCAACUGACGCUGAAGUGCGAAAGCUAGGGGAGCGAACAGGAUUAGAUACCCUGGUAGUCCUAGCUGUAAACGAUGAUUACUGGGUGUGGGCAUGAAGAGUGUCCGUGCCGAAGCAAAUGCGAUAAGUAAUCCGCCUGGGGAGUACGGCCGCAAGGCUGAAACUCAAAGGAAUUGACGGGGACCCGCACAAGCGGUGGAGCAUGUGGUUUAAUUCGACGCAACGCGAGGAACCUUACCAGAUCUUGACAUCC